AUGUGAGUGUGUGCUUUAAUUAAUUUACAAGAUGAUUUCUCUGGUUGAAAGUUUCAAAUAUGUUCUCCGAGCACCCAUCAUGGAGAAGUGACACACUCCGGAGUAUACUUGUACAUCACUGAAGCGAAGUGAGAAAUUAAACCACUUGAGUAGUUUCCAUUAUUGCUAACGUAGUCCAACUCUCCAGCCUGGGAUUCAAAAUGAGAUGGGAUCCACAGAACAUGAUACAUGCAUGUAGUGGAUGUGAUGCCGCUGUGCAUGGCAACCUUACAUGCAAUGAGGAAGUUCAGUAUUAUAGUACUUUGCUUAUAGUAUUGUUGACCUUCUUUAUUAAAACAAUAUGACCUGA
Molecule: long non-coding RNA, 349 nt
Organism: Micropterus dolomieu (smallmouth bass)
Lineage: Eukaryota; Metazoa; Chordata; Actinopteri; Centrarchiformes; Centrarchidae
Exons: 2
Source: RefSeq, a predicted model, not a curated record